This 273-nucleotide ribosomal RNA is filed under the name uncultured bacterium. RNAcentral's name for it is "partial 16S ribosomal RNA". It matches the Rfam family "Bacterial small subunit ribosomal RNA", at positions 38 to 339 of the family's 1533-position model. The record is from RNAcentral.
GGCGGCACGCCUAACACAUGCAAGUCGAGCGAGGUAGCAAUACCUAGCGGCAGACGGGUGCGUAACAUGUGGGAAUCUGCCUUUUGGUUCGGAAUAACACGGGGAAACCUGUGCUAAUACCGGAUAAGUCCUUACGGAGAAAGUUUUAAUGCCAAAAGAUGAGCCCGCAUUUGAUUAGCUAGUUGGUAAGGUAAUGGCUUACCAAGACUGUGAUCAAUAGCUGAUUUGAGAGGAUGAUCAGCCACAUUGGGACUGAGAUACGGCCCAGACUCC